Homo sapiens (human) is the source of this 696-nucleotide long non-coding RNA. RefSeq lists it as uncharacterized. The record is from RefSeq and is a predicted model, not a curated record. The transcript is spliced from 2 exons. Lineage: Eukaryota; Metazoa; Chordata; Mammalia; Primates; Hominidae.
CCCACUUUGUUGGUGAAGAAAAAAACUCCUUGUUAACUACAAAGCUCUUCUCUCAGCAACACAUAAGGCCCCAUGUGAUGAGACAUCCUGGCUGGCAGGGCAGCCCAGCUCUACAUAACUGUUCAUGGAUCCAGGUCGCUGAUGAAUCAUUGUUCCUUUACGUCCAGGCAUUGUUAUCACGGCAUGAUUGAAGCUGGUUGCUACAAUACUCAGAUUCCAGCCAGUGAGAAGAAGAAAGUAUGGAGGAAGCAAAUCAAUAUCUCAAGAACCAGACACAUGACUUACUGUCACAUUCUACAGGUGAGAACCUUGUCACCUGGCCAUUCAACUGCAAGGGGGCUGGAAAAUGAGGUGUAGCUGAGCAGAUGGGAGCCCAGAAGCAAUUCCAUUCAUGUGAAGGGAGGCCAGUACAGAUUGGAAGUGACUCUAGAGGUCUCCAUCACAGCCACUGCUUCCCUGCCAUGCGCAAGACCUGUAUGCUCAUGUGCCACCCCCUGGCCCAGUGCACAAUGUUCCAGAACUUUCAUCAGGCCUCACUAUCAUAGCCAUUUCCCUCUUUUGGACUUUCCUUGCCCACACCCCAACCUCACAGGAAUAUAAUCUCAAGAUUACAGAAUUUUCACAUCAGCUUUCUUCAUCUUUUUCAAGCCUGCAGGACAAAAACAAACCAAUAAAUACUGUACCAGUUCAACCUCA